UAUUCAAGAGCAGCGUUUCUAGUAAAUAGCUCGAAUUUUACAGCCAGUUUCUAAACGAACGAGAUUUUGUUGUCUCUAUCGGACGAACUGCUAGCGAUUGACAAUGAUGCCUCAGCUGAAAUACACAGAUUAAUACAGGAGGACUGGGACAAGGAGUACGCCGAAUGCGCUAGUGGUAAACAGCGGGGUUACUGCGAACUCUUCCCAACAACGCUAAACAAACCUUGGUUUAACAACUUGAACUGCAACCUCAGACCUUCGGGUAUAAAAAUCAUAAACAGAUUAAUGAGCGGUAACGCUUUUGACAAUUAUACUCUAAACAAAAUGCACGUAGUAAACAACAACAGAUGUGCCAGUUGCAACGAUUUCGAUAACGCAUCGCACAUCAUAUUCAGCUGUUCCAAAUACAACUCUGCAAGACAGCAGCAUCACUCGCCGCAGUCACUUUGGUAGAAUUUUGGCCGGAGCCGGAGCGCAGUUUGAACAGGCGCAUCCCUCUCCACAGUAUCGUCAGCUGGAUCUGGGCAGGAGCAUGGAACGAAGUUUUGGCUGUCUCCUCCCUCGCCGCAGUCGCAAUAGCAGGGAUUUGUCCAGGAGCCGGAAAUCGUUUGAGGCAG
This is a long non-coding RNA of Drosophila elegans, 617 nucleotides long. RefSeq lists it as uncharacterized. The transcript is spliced from 3 exons. The record is from RefSeq and is a predicted model, not a curated record. NCBI's taxonomy places the organism in Eukaryota, Metazoa, Arthropoda, Insecta, Diptera, Drosophilidae.